This 406-nucleotide ribosomal RNA is filed under the name uncultured bacterium. Its description in RNAcentral is "partial 16S ribosomal RNA". It matches the Rfam family "Bacterial small subunit ribosomal RNA", at positions 30 to 526 of the family's 1533-position model. The record is from RNAcentral.
AUUGAACGCUGGCGGCAGGCCUAACACAUGCAAGUCGAACGAGUGGCGGACGGGUGAGUAAUGUCUGGGAAACUGCCUGAUGGAGGGGGAUAACUACUGGAAACGGUAGCUAAUACCGCAUACCAUCGGAUGUGCCGAGAUGGGCUAAUCUAGUAGGUGGGGUAAAGGCUAACCUAGGCGACGAUCCCUAGCUGGUCUGAGAGGAUGAACAGCCACACUUGAACUUAGACACGGUCCAGACUCCUACUGUAGGCAGCAGUGGGGAAUAUUGCACAAUGGGCGCAAGCCUGAUGCAGCCAUGCCGCGUGUAUGAAGAAGGCCUUCGGGUUGUAAAGUACUUUCAGCGGGGAGGCGUUACCCGCAGAAGAAGCACCGGCUAACUCCGUGCCAGCAGCCGCGGUAAUUC